AUUGAACGCUGGCGGCAUGCUUUACACAUGCAAGUCGAACGGCAGCGCGGGCUUCGGCCUGGCGGCGAGUGGCGAACGGGUGAGUAAUGCAUCGGAACGUGCCCAGUAGUGGGGGAUAGCCCGGCGAAAACCGGAUUAAUACCGCAUACGACCUGAGGGUGAAAGCGGGGGACCGAAAGGCCUCGCGCUAUCGGAGCGGCCGAUGUCGGAUUAGCUAGUUGGUGGGGUAAAGGCUUACCAAGGCGACGAUCCGUAGCUGGUCUGAGAGGACGACCAGCCACACUGGGACUGAGACACGGCCCAGACUCCUACGGGAGGCAGCAGUGGGGAAUUUUGGACAAUGGGGGCAACCCUGAUCCAGCCAUGCCGCGUGCGGGAAGAAGGCCUUCGGGUUGUAAACCGCUUUUGUUCGGGAAGAAAUCCUCUGGGCUAAUACCCCGGGGGGAUGACGGUACCGGAAGAAUAAGCACCGGCUAACUACGUG
RNAcentral lists this ribosomal RNA (484 nucleotides) under uncultured bacterium. RNAcentral's name for it is "partial 16S ribosomal RNA". It matches the Rfam family "Bacterial small subunit ribosomal RNA", at positions 29 to 507 of the family's 1533-position model. The record is from RNAcentral.